UACGAAGGGGGCUAGCGUUGCUCGGAAUCACUGGGCGUAAAGCGCACGUAGGCGGAUUGCUAAGUCAGGGGUGAAAUCCUGGAGCUCAACUCCAGAACUGCCUUUGAUACUGGCGACCUUGAGUCCGGGAGAGGUGAGUGGAACUGCGAGUGUAGAGGUGAAAUUCGUAGAUAUUCGCAAGAACACCAGUGGCGAAGGCGGCUCACUGGCCCGGUACUGACGCUGAGGUGCGAAGGCUAGGGGAGCGAACGGG
This 253-nucleotide ribosomal RNA is filed under the name uncultured bacterium. RNAcentral describes it as "partial 16S ribosomal RNA". It matches the Rfam family "Bacterial small subunit ribosomal RNA", at positions 524 to 776 of the family's 1533-position model. The record is from RNAcentral.